This 354-nucleotide long non-coding RNA is filed under the name Olea europaea subsp. europaea. Lineage: Eukaryota; Viridiplantae; Streptophyta; Magnoliopsida; Lamiales; Oleaceae. The record is from RNAcentral.
CGAGAAUCGAGCUCCCAACUCCAGGAUUGCCUCAUAUGCCCAAAUCUGCAUGACAUUUAUAACAGUAAUAAACAUAUUUGGAGGUAAAUAGCAAUGUGUGAUGAAAAGAACUGAAAUGAACCAAAGUAGAUGUAUACCUGGACAGCAAGAGGGAAUUCGUACAACGUGUAAGUCAUCCUAUCACAAUCGUUCACUUUUGCCAUGUCCGCCUUUCUUCCCCAUCCACGUAGUAGUGAUUUGAUAAGAAGUUGAAAACGUACCUUCCCCUAUGGAGAAGCAUUGAAGAAAUCCAAGUCGUCAACGAUGGAAAGAGUUGUCAGAUGUAUUCCUACAUUUCAGUCUCUUGAAUUAAAU